RNAcentral lists this ribosomal RNA (253 nucleotides) under uncultured bacterium. RNAcentral describes it as "partial 16S ribosomal RNA". It matches the Rfam family "Bacterial small subunit ribosomal RNA", at positions 524 to 776 of the family's 1533-position model. The record is from RNAcentral.
UACAGAGGUCCCAAGCGUUGUUCGGAUUCAUUGGGCGUAAAGGGUGCGUAGGCGGCGCGGUAAGUCGGAUGUGAAAUCUCGGAGCUUAACUCCGAAACUGCAUUCGAUACUGCCGUGCUUGAGGACUGGAGAGGAGACUGGAAUUUACGGUGUAGCGGUGAAAUGCGUAGAUAUCGUAAGGAAGACCAGUGGCGAAGGCGGGUCUCUGGACAGUUCCUGACGCUGAGGCACGAAGGCCAGGGGAGCAAACGGG